Molecule: long non-coding RNA, 241 nt
Filed under: Lathyrus oleraceus (garden pea)
Lineage: Eukaryota; Viridiplantae; Streptophyta; Magnoliopsida; Fabales; Fabaceae
Description: Pisum sativum (pea) long non-coding RNA (PSAT_LNC013208)
Source: RNAcentral
UUUCCCAGUGGUGAUGGUGAUGUAUCCUCAGGUCCCGUUUAUUUCGGAAACCUAAGUCGGAUUUGUGGUUACAUAUUCCCUCAGAUGGUUGUGAUCAAUUCAGAGGCUGUAACUCAGUGCAGCAGAUGUUCAGAUGACUUGGAGGAUGGCACAAUGCAUUGCAUUCAUACAUCAACAUCAUUUACAUUUCGCAUUUAUUUGCAUCUAACACAUGUUUAUCCAUAUGCAGGGGACAUUCUUG